Triticum aestivum (bread wheat) is the source of this 3035-nucleotide RNA transcript. RefSeq lists it as uncharacterized. The transcript is spliced from 3 exons. NCBI's taxonomy places the organism in Eukaryota, Viridiplantae, Streptophyta, Magnoliopsida, Poales, Poaceae. The record is from RefSeq and is a predicted model, not a curated record.
UCCACUGCCCAAUUGCGCCCCCGCCUUCCUUCCCCACCGCUGUGCUCCCCUCUCCCCAUAGACGCCUCCUACCCUCUGACGCCGCCCCGCGCGAUGGACGCCAUCUCUCCCCUAUUUCCCUCUUCACCUCCACGGCCACGCCGCAUCGCCGGCCAAGCCCCGCUGCGCUGGCUAUGAUCCGCCACGCCGCCCCAUAGCCCCACACCCAAAGCUGCAGCCGAGAUGCAUCUGAGCGAGAACGAGGGGAUUGAGGGCGUGCGGUUCGCAAUGACUGUCGGGCAGGGCUUCGUCGGUGCCGCGCUAUGCCUGGAGCUGAUCCGCCGCGGCGCCCUGGAGGUCUGCUCCCUCGACAGCUCGACCUGCGCGAUUCCUCCGCUUGGUCCCAUCAGCUCCUCGACGCCGGCGUCCGCUUCUUACAAGGUUCUCUCCCUCACUCUCUUUUGCUUAAAUUAUUGUGUUUUUUUCUGUCGCCAUGAGUGGGCGUGAGACUUAAAUGCAGCGUCGCAGCGAAGAAGGUAAUUUGUUUUUCUGUCCAAUGCAUUGAAGCUAUAAUGUACGUGCUUAGUAAAUUGUUUAGGGCGGUGUGAGACUUAUAAUGCCUGCCAACUUAGUGAAUUGAUAAACCUGAAGUUUGUGUUUUUCACUUCACUUGAAUUUGCACAAUUCAGUUAUGUGUUCAUUGAAUGGAUUUGACAUGACAUUUCCUGCAAGCAAUGAGGGAAGUAGAUGGGCAUGGCUGAUCUGUUCGUCAUGCAGUUAUGUGCUAUCUUAUUCCUUGAUGCUGAGUGUGAGUCCAUGCAUGUGCAAGCUAUAUGUACUCUUAGUCUAUUAGUGUUCUCUAACUUAUUUCCUACUAUUCCUGUAUGGUACCACUUCUUCCCUAGCAAGGAUAUGUGAGCCUAUUAACCUUAUGUUGUCUGUCAAUGUCAGAUUUAGAACCCAACAAAGAAAUAUGGCAGAAAUUUGCAUAUUAACCUUUCUUGUGCAGGUUCGAGAUAUAAAGGUCAUAUAGGUGCUUCUUUGCCAUGAGUCUGUAAACUUGAUGAGGCAACAUGGUCUUCAAGCACAAGAAAUACCCAUGUACGUGAGUGUGGGCUGCCGCUCCGCCCUCCACUCCUCUGCUUGACCACCGCCACCGCCACGUUGAAGCCCCUUGCCACCUAGCGGCAUGCUUUCUCGAGGAUCAGCAGCUAAUGGCAAACGCGCCAGCGAGCCCCGAGUGCGCUGGACCGUGCAACAUGAAGAAGACCAUCUGGACAAAGGGCAGGUACACGAUAGCCAAGAACACAAGGAUACGUGCGGGUCUGCAUUUCUGAGGUAUAUCUCUUUUAGCACUAGCGAUUAAAUGGUCUGUAGCUGGUCAGGCGUGCUUGCCUAAAAUGUACUUUAGUAGUUGCUAGAGCCAUGCUAGCUUCUAUGUUGUUCUUGCAGCCUCAACUAGCUUAUUUCAUUUGAAGCAAAUGUUGUUCUAUCCUUCCAAUUAAUGUUAUUCAGAUCUUUUUUUCUUUUUUCUGUUGUCAUUCACAAUACAAAUGUUAUGAGAAUUUCAGGAAUUUUGUCAUAUCUUUCUCCCAGUUACCUUAAUUUUGUAAAUUGUGGUCUAAUUCAAUUUUGAGUUUGUUUUCAGAAAAGACUACUUUAAAGCUGUGUAAAUCCAUUAUUUCCUUUGAGUUUGCCGUGGAGUUGAGUUGGGAACCUUUUUUUAUACUUGGUGGAUGCACUGACUUAGGGUGCGUUUGGUUAGGGAACGAAGUGGAAUGGAAUGUCAUGGUUCCGUUCCAUCCUUGUGUUCGGUAUAUGCAAAUCUAAGGAAUGGAAUGGUUAUGUUUUAGUGUUUGGUUUCAGAUAUCUGAUGAAAUGGAUUUGUUCAUCCCUACACUUGUCUGCUUGUGAUUAUGUAGAAUAUAUUGAACUUUGAACUGGAUUUCAGUCAAUCAAAAACCAUCGGAUGCAUUGGCACACACAUAUGGGCAAGAUUAAGUUGAAUUAGAAAAGAGCGGUGCAUACACUGAAUCAGAUUUCAGAACACCAAAUAUAGCCGGUUUCAGUCAAAUGGUUGAUCUCGACAAGACAAAGACUGAAUUGGAUGGGGAGCUCAACAGUACAGGCCUUAGCCCCAAUCGUCGGCGCACUGGUUGGGCUCGCUGGGCGCCGGCACAGGACUGGAGACACCUGGGCGCGAAGACCACGCCGAGCGGUGCACGAGGCCGCACAGCUGCGCAUACUACAGAUCAACGCCGUCGCUCGCGGCCAUCCAGCGCGGCCGUCUCGUGAUGCAUGAGGCCAUGCAGGAGCUGCUCGUGCACUCUGGUACAAAUCUACGCCGCUGCCCUCCUCCAUUAGCCGCCGUCUCUUGGUGCCCGCCGUCGCUCGCCUCCAUCCAGCGCCGUCUUUCGGUGCCCGCCGUCGCUCGCCUCCAUCCAGCGCCGCCUAUUGCUACCCGCCGCCACUCGUGUCGAGAGAGGGAGAGGCGGUAGAGUUGCGGGAGUGUGAGGAGAACGACCGGUUUCAUGUGGUCCGCUCGAUUUGGAAGUACGAGCGCGUUCCGCAUCUGAGAGGAAUAUUCGGUUCGUGGGAACUAGUCGGUUACCGUUCCAGCUCUAUGCCAAACACCAGAACGGGCCUAGAAACGGGUCCGACCCAUGACAUUCCAGUUGAUGACUGCAACCAAACACACCCUUAGUGACGGAGACUUGCCUGAAUGUUAUUUUCCUCCGCGUGAAGUGCUUACAAUUCUCAAAGGCUUCAACAAGUCCCGGAGGAGAUUGACAAGGAAUCCUUGUUGUAAAGAGUGAAGGCAUGGUUUGGUUUGCAUGACAUUAUCUUCAAUUGGCUGGAGAUAUAUAAAUGUUGAUACUUGAUUUUCUCAUCUGGCAUCUUAUCACUUUUGUGAAACACACUUGAUUUUCUCAUAGUAAUAGUUCUUUAUUAUUGCUGAUACAUAAAUGGAUCUUUAUUCAAUGGUACUUGUAUGUGUGUAUGGAGAAUGGUGAUUAACCUUUUAAAUAAUCCAUUGUCCAACAAGGUGAUUCUAA